Long non-coding RNA from Oncorhynchus tshawytscha (Chinook salmon), 1952 nucleotides. The record is from Ensembl. NCBI's taxonomy places the organism in Eukaryota, Metazoa, Chordata, Actinopteri, Salmoniformes, Salmonidae.
GGUAGAUCUGUUCUAUGUAAGCUAUUUGUAUCGGUCCCUUUAGUUUGGGUGUCCUUUACUUUCAGUUUUGUUGUGUACACCAGCUGAAAAUACUAUAGUUUUGGUUAUAAAAAAUAUAUUUCACAGCGGUUUAGAUGGUACAAUGAUUCGCGACACAAUGACUGCCUGUUGUCUCACAACUGAAAUUAGGUGAACUAUUUGAAUUUUAGCAACCAGGAAAUGGAAAGAUUAAUGCAUAUUCCACCUUUGAGAAAUUAAAGGUUAUUCUUUUGAGCUCAUGGUGUAGCCCAUGAGGCGGAGAAGCUGGAGGACAGGAAGAAGGUGAAGUGCCGCAAGAAAUCUGAAAUAGGGUAAGUGCCUCCCAUUGGAAGGGUUCAGUCUAGUGGACUGAAAUAGGUGCCCGUACUCAUUUUGGGUGCCUUUACCGUUCAUAUUUAGGUGCAGGAGCUCCACAACACUUUGAGCUAAUAUUCUAUGAGGUGGAGGAGCUCAAGCAGUAGAAAAAGUGAGGUGCCAGUGCUCAGCUUCGGUGAUCUCAUGCCUAAAUGGUUCAGUCAGGGAUAAUAACAGAAUAAAUAAACCAGCAAAACUGAAAAACAGCUACAACAAGCUGUUGUUCUUAUGGAUCAAACUGUUUCCUUCUUAAGGCAAUGAUUGACCCCCCAGUACCGUACCCACCUGAAGAGGAAAGCACAGGUGGCUCAGGGGGAGCUGGAGGCAGACUGCAGGAUCCUGGGAGUCCUGCUGGAGAGUGCACGUCUGGAGGGAAUUGAAGCAGGUCAAGGAGCAACUCCAGCUGGAAUAGGAAGCAGAGUUUGUUAUCCUGUACAGGUCGGUAAUAGCAUGAGCAGGCCCGGAGGCUGCAGGAGGAUGAGUGGAGACUGCAGGAGGAUGAGUGGAGGAUAAGUGGAGGCUGCAAGAGGAUGAGUGGAGGCUGCAGGAGGAUAAGUGGAGGCUGCAAGAGGAUGAGGAGAGGUUGCAGACCCAGAGGAUGUCCUAGCAGGGCUAACAGGACAAGAUUCAACACAGAACCCGUUCAGCCUGGACAUGAAGAAGUUGUGAGGCCAAAAAGACAAUCAUAUGUUCUUAUACAUUUGUACAAAGAAUGAAGUAGACCAACUUCAUGCUUAUAUGUUAGUUGCUGAAUGUGGUGGUUGUUAGUUUUGUUACAUAUUUAGCAAAAUGAUGAGGGAUAGUUUAUAAUUCAAAGAAUAAUUUUUUUUUAAAUCAAUAAACAAGACCUAAGAUUGUGAGUUUUAGUUAUGUAAUUAAAACAUCUAUUUUCUUUGCUUGCCUGUUUCUCUGCGCUCAUGGAAGAAACACUUUGUCACACAAUACAACAAACAAUUUAUCAUUGACAGAAUAAUUAGAUUAAUUUCCUUAGUUGGAUAUCUGCUAUUUAUCAUAAUUAUCAACCUAUAAAACAUAUGUGAAGCAUAUACAAUACUUUAGAGCCAAUCUGUAAGAUUUACUCUUUGAUUUGGAAGUUUUUGAUCUAAAUACCUUGUUGAGAUUCGUACUAAAGAUACAUACCCCGUUGUUUGUUUUUGUUUUCAUACAACAGGGCUGUCAAAUUCAUUCCAAUCCUAGUGUCUACAUGUUAAUGUUUUUUUCUUUCAAUUAAAACAACCAGGUGCGUGGACUUCUUUACUAAUUAGUGACCUUAAUUCAUCAAUUAAGUACAAGGAAGGAGCGAAAACCUGCAAAUACUUGACCCUGUGUGGAAUGAGUUUGAUAUGUAUCAUACAACAAAUAUUUGCAAUUCUUUGGGCCUACUUGAAACCAAUACACAUUUCUAUGAAGUGCUUGUGUGAACAGAAUUGCACAGCAGUGAAAUGCAUUAAAUGCAUGUCUUGAUGGAGGUACAUUUCACUGCUUCUAAAUAAAUUGUUCUUUAUCAACUUAUACCUGGUCAUGAUACAUCUUAUUUGAUCUACCAACAUGACGAAUAC